GUAGGUGGCAAGCGUUGUCCGGAAUUAUUGGGCGUAAAGCGCGCGCAGGCGGUUCUUUAAGUCUGAUGUGAAAGCCCACGGGCUCAACCGUGGAGGGUCAUUGGAAACUGGAGAACUUGAGUACAGAAGAGGAAAGCGGAAUUCCACGUGUAGCGGUGAAAUGCGUAGAGAUGUGGAGGAACACCAGUGACGAAGGCGGCUUUCUGGUCUGUAACUGACGCUGAGGCGCGAAAGCGCGGGGAGCAAACAGGAUUAGAUACCCUGGUAGUCCACGCCGUAAACGAUGAGUGCUAAGUGUUAGGGGGUUUCCGCCCCUUAGUGCUGCAGCUAACGCAUUAAGCACUCCGCCUGGGGAGUACGGCCGCAAGGCUG
Molecule: ribosomal RNA, 372 nt
Filed under: uncultured organism
Description: partial 16S ribosomal RNA
Rfam family: Bacterial small subunit ribosomal RNA
Source: RNAcentral